Molecule: long non-coding RNA, 3837 nt
Organism: Cervus elaphus (red deer)
Lineage: Eukaryota; Metazoa; Chordata; Mammalia; Artiodactyla; Cervidae
Exons: 4
Source: RefSeq, a predicted model, not a curated record
AAGCAGAUGGCCUCCGCCCCCACCCCCGGGAGGAUUUCUUAAUGGGGUGCCAAUGCCAGUCCCCGAAGCCAGGGUUCCCGGACCCUCGGGGCUGAGCUGGGCGCUGGAACCCCGCAGGGGCGGAGAGGCCGGCCGAGCCUGAAGAAGUAGAGGAGAGAUCUACACAACUUCAGUGGGGUGUCCCCGUCCCGUCUUCCUGUUCGCCCUCUUUUGCCCCCAACUCCAUCUCUGAGACAUCCUAUCCUCCCCCCCCAAAAAAGAAGUCACUCCGGGGCUCUGUCUGCAGAGAGCCAGGGUGAGAGCGGGCAAGGCGAGAGAGCGACCUCGGUCGUGGGCAAGUAGCUUGUUUUUACGUCCUUCAAUAAAAUUUUUAUGAGGAUCAUUUGAUUGUUCAUAAAUGUGUCUUUCAUUAAAUAAAAUUGUAGGCUGUUUUUGGAACGAAAAAAAGCUAUGAAGGAAUGGGAGAAAGCAAUUUCUUUGGAGUCAGACACAGGAAUUCUGGAGGGGGCAGUGUGAUGGUAAGGAAGAUCACACAACUUGGAUUCCUACCCCCCUCAGUAAGUUGGUUGCUACCCUCCUCCUUGAAUUUGGGGUUCGUUGCCCAGUCCUCUGCUUUCCAUCAGACUGUCCCAUGGUGGUUUAGCAAAGGUGGGCAAAGGCAAGCAGGAAAUUCUCAGUGUGGGUGCAAGAGAGGGGCAGGGAAGUUGGUGGGGGUGGGGGAGAAGAGCAGGUGAUAUCCCCAGAGACACAGGCGUCCUAGGCAGGGCAGAGUGAAUUUGAAGGAGGGGUGCAAUUUCAGGGUCAGCAGGGAAUAGUCCAGUUUGCGCCAAGAGAAACAGGCAGGAGCUGAGGCUAAGACACAGGCUCUGAGGCAGCAGGGAAGGACAAGGUUUCUCAGACUGGAGAUGCCUGCUCUUCUCUCCCAUUCCUGUCCUCAGGAGGGGACCAAACACCAGGGAUGGGGGGGUGGAGGCUGCUUUUUUCCUGCAUCUCUGUCAACCUGUCUCCUCUAGGGAGGAGAAGGGCUAGAGAGAGGUGUUCCAGAGACUGUAGUGUGUGUGUUUGGGAAGGGGGGGGGUAAGGAAAGUUGAGGGGGAAGGGUCUGUCUGCAGCCUGCAGCACCGACCCCAGCCUGCCAGGCCCCCACCCCAGUCCCUGCUCCUCCCCUUCUCGGGUUCUCUCCUUUUCGGUCUAGCGGGGCUGGGAUUUCGACGCAUGGGGGGGACGUGAGAAGUACCCGGCUGGGGAGAGGCGACCCGGGGCCUCAGCCCCUUCACCCUUAUCUCUGAUUAUCUUCUCCUCCCCCCGACUGGACUGGUUUUGGAAAAGCCAAAUUACAGCAAGAAACAGAAUAUCUCUUUGGCCUUGAUGGAGUUGGGUUAGCUGUCAAUCAAAAAUUCUCCCUCACUAGUUCAAGGAAAAGACUGGAGGUUACCGUCCCCCUGCCUAGGCUUCCUCCAAAUCCCCAGCGCCAUCAGCACCUCCCCCCAGCCCUGGCGGCGGGGGACCCUGCCUGGUUCUUGGGUGGCUGCUGGCAAUGCUGAGCAGAGCCGCGGAGCGUUCAGAGGGCCCGGGGCCAGACUGUGACCAAGAGGACAUCAGGGGACAGAGCCUGAGAGAGACUGAGCCCGAGACAGCCUGAGACAGCAAGACUGAAGCACGGCGCCAGGUCCCCAGAGAGGAAGGGAGGAAGGAAGGAGGGAAGGAAAGAAGAAAACGGAUUAGAAUAAAAGAAAGGGAAGACAGACAGAAAAGAGGGGAGGCAGGAUGAAAAGAGAGGGAAGAGCAGGGAAAGGAAGGCAUGCAGAGAGAGUCGGAGGAAGGGCAGCGACAGGCAGGCAGGACGGGGCAGGGCGCGGGCUGGCCGAGCAGCCGUGGCAUUGUGCAGCCCGCUGGCUGGCCAGGCCUUUGCCGCGGGACCGGCUCUGGGCGCGGCGGCCACUUCUGUCCGGACACAAAGGAGGAAGAGGCCUCCUCUCCUGCCCCUCCCGGGCGACCUGCUGGGGUGGGGACACCAGGCCUCUAGGAUAUAGAACCCUAUCUCGGCCCAGGCAGCUACCCAGGCAGCUGGGAGCUGAGCCACGCUCUCAUCAAGGAGCAAAGAAGACAGGACGAAGGAGGUUUCAAGCCCGCCGGCUCCUCCUUUUCGUCUUCGCCAGGGGACAGGGCCCAUCUGCCCCUACCUCAGUCUUCCUAGAAGGAAGCUGCCCCCACAGCCCCUCUCCUAUGGGCUUCUACUAUUUGGGAAAGCCCCCCAGACACAGUGGCUGUAAACAGAUGCCCCUUUCUCUCCUACCCAGCUUGGCCACCACCUUCUUUUCAACUCUUGAGCAGCCUGCCCACCCUGCCUGCCCACCCAGCAGAGGCAGCAGCAGUGGGGCAGCCAGGAUCACCAGGCCCACGCUCUCUGCUGCCACCAAAUUCCCUGUGAAACUGAGGGGAGGUUGUCGCCUUCAUUUCAGAGCAUGAACUCAGGCCCUCCCACUCAGACAUAGACACAACUGUGGAUCUGGAAGCAGGCCUCACCCACAGCCCCCUCCCCACCAAUGCCCCAUUUUGCCUGGGCCUUGCUAAGAGAGGCAGCCUGGGGGAGGGGGGCUGGAAGAGGCUGAGAAUCCCUGAGUUCACCAGGCCACCAGGCCGAGGUCCCUCGGGUUCCACAACUACAUGUGGACGGUACCCCCAUCCUCUGCAUUUGGAGGUGGGGUGGCAGGUCAGGGCUCUGAAGCAGACCCUAGGGCUCUCCCCAAAUCCAGACCUGGAGGUGUCAGGGCACCAAGGAUGUGGGAGCACCAAGAAGGAGGGGCUUGUCUUCCCAGGUUCAGUUAUGCCUGCUGAAUCUCCUGCCAGGUUCCCAGACUCCCUCUCACCCCCACCACUCCCUUCAAUUUUCCUCAUCACCGAUGGGGAGCCCGAGGUACUGGAGGCCACUGGGAGUCCCUGUUGGGAGAUGGGAGGACUCCAGCUUUAGCUAGCAGCUGUGCAUUCACUGUGGUUCUUAGAGCUCUCUUCUGACCCCAAAAGACAGCACUGGGCAGAGGAGAGCCCCCUCAGGGGGAGGAGCACCCUGACUACAUCACCUCAGACCUGGACAGCUGGGAUCACAAUCAAGCUAGCACCACCGUGGGCAGGACAGACAGACAGAAAGACAGGUUAGACUGAUCCCCUCCCCUGGCCCUGCACCUCCCUUUUAGUGAUUUAAAUUCCCUCCGGUUCAAUCCACACCGUCAAGUUCGGAUUAUAUUUAAAACAGGCUUUCCCCGGUCCGCCAGCAGGUCAUUCCCGCAGCCGCAGGCAGGGCGCCCGCUCCCGGCUCGGCAGCACCCGCCUGCGCGGAGGAGGCCCUGCGUGCUCCAUUUGCUUUCGUUUUCCUUCUCCCCCUGAAAUGGGCUCAGUUCACCUCUCCGCUGCCCUCUCCUCCUCCCCGCCCCCUCCUUGGUUCCCCACUCCUUUCCCCCCUUUUCUCUCCUGAUCCCUCUUUGUUGGGAAAAACACACCCACACACACAACUCCUCCUAGCUCAGGCCUGCGCUGGAAGCAGAAACUGAAUUCUCCUGGCCCGCCGCGAGGAGACCAGCGUCCUGCCCCCACCCCAGCCUUUUGCUGGACAGCCUAGGGUUUAGGACGUCUCAGACGGACAGACAGACAGACAGACAGGCAAACCGCAUCUCCGGAGGCAGACAGACUCACAACAUGAGUGGCGUCCGGCAGAGACCCGGAAGACUCGGUCCCUCUGGCUUGGUCCAAUCCCGCCUCGGGAAGCGCCUUCGUUACCUGCUCCUCGGCUCCCCACGGCCACAGAUGCAGGGCAGCCGCCUCCGCCGGGGGAGGGAAGCC